This 446-nucleotide ribosomal RNA is filed under the name uncultured bacterium. RNAcentral's name for it is "partial 16S ribosomal RNA". It matches the Rfam family "Bacterial small subunit ribosomal RNA", at positions 354 to 796 of the family's 1533-position model. The record is from RNAcentral.
GUAAGGAAUAUUGGUCAAUGGGGGCAACCCUGAACCAGCCAUGCCGCGUGAAGGAUGAAGGCGUUAUGCGUUGUAAACUUCUUUUGUAUGGGAAGAAUGACAGGGAUUCAUCCUUGGAGAGACGGUACCAUACGAAUAAGCACCGGCUAACUCCGUGCCAGCAGCCGCGGUAAUACGGAGGGUGCAAGCGUUAUCCGGAAUCACUGGGUUUAAAGGGUACGUAGGCGGUUAAUUAAGUCAGUAGUGAAAGACUGUCGCUCAACGACGGAUGUGCUAUUGAUACUGGUUAACUUGAAUCGGGUUAGAGUUGGCGGAAUGGGUCAUGUAGCGGUGAAAUGCUUAGAUAUGACUUGGAACACCGAUAGCGAAGGCAGCUGACUGAGCCUUGAUUGACGCUGAGGUACGAAAGUGUGGGUAGCGAACAGGAUUAGAAACCCGAGUAGUCC